This 465-nucleotide ribosomal RNA is filed under the name Vreelandella stevensii. Its description in RNAcentral is "partial 16S ribosomal RNA". It matches the Rfam family "Bacterial small subunit ribosomal RNA", at positions 338 to 795 of the family's 1533-position model. The record is from RNAcentral. Lineage: Bacteria; Pseudomonadati; Pseudomonadota; Gammaproteobacteria; Oceanospirillales; Halomonadaceae.
CCUACGGGUGGCAGCAGUGGGGAAUAUUGGACAAUGGGGGGAACCCUGAUCCAGCCAUGCCGCGUGUGUGAAGAAGGCCCUCGGGUUGUAAAGCACUUUCAGUGAGGAAGAACGCCUGGUGGUUAAUACCCAUCAGGAAAGACAUCACUCACAGAAGAAGCACCGGCUAACUCCGUGCCAGCAGCCGCGGUAAUACGGAGGGUGCGAGCGUUAAUCGGAAUUACUGGGCGUAAAGCGCGCGUAGGUGGCUUGAUAAGCCGGUUGUGAAAGCCCCGGGCUCAACCUGGGAACGGCAGCCGGAACUGUCAAGCUAGAGUGCAGGAGAGGAAGGUAGAAUUCCCGGUGUAGCGGUGAAAUGCGUAGAGAUCGGGAGGAAUACCAGUGGCGAAGGCGGCCUUCUGGACUGACACUGACACUGAGGUGCGAAAGCGUGGGUAGCAAACAGGAUUAGAUACCCUAGUAGUC